GGUAGGAUGGCUGAGAGCUUAGCGGUGGGUUGUAGCCCCAUGUACAGAGGUUCAAUUCCUCUUCCUAUCA
This 70-nucleotide transfer RNA is filed under the name Umbra pygmaea (eastern mudminnow). RNAcentral's name for it is "tRNA-Tyr". It matches the Rfam family "tRNA". From Rfam's summary of the family: Transfer RNA (tRNA) molecules are approximately 80 nucleotides in length. Lineage: Eukaryota; Metazoa; Chordata; Actinopteri; Esociformes; Umbridae. RNAcentral also lists the same sequence under 1 other name. The record is from RNAcentral.